AGGACGAACGCUGGCGGCAUGCCUAACACAUGCAAGUCGAACGGGGGUAGCAAUACCCUAGUGGCGAACGGGUGAGUAACACAUAAGCAAUCUGCCCUUCACAGGGGGAUAACAGCGGGAAACUGCUGCUAAUACCGCAUAAGACCACGGUACCGCAUGGUACAGGGGUAAAAACGAAUCAGUGGUGAAGGAUGAGCUUAUGUCCCAUUAGCUAGUUGGUGAGAUAACAGCCCACCCAGGCGACGAUGGGUAGCCGACCUGAGAGGGUGAUCGGCCACACUGGAACUGAGACACGGUCCAGACUCCUACGGGAGGCAGCAGUGGGGAAUAUUGGGCAAUGGAGGAAACUCCUUACCCAGCAAUGCCGCGUGAGUGAAGAAGGUCUUCGGAUUGUAAAGCUCUUUGAUUGGGGACGAAGAAAGUGACGGUACCCAAAGAACAAGCCCCGGCUAACUACGUGCCAGCAGCUGC
Molecule: ribosomal RNA, 471 nt
Filed under: uncultured bacterium
Lineage: Bacteria
Description: bacterial SSU rRNA
Rfam family: Bacterial small subunit ribosomal RNA
Source: RNAcentral